RNAcentral lists this ribosomal RNA (219 nucleotides) under uncultured bacterium. RNAcentral's name for it is "partial 16S ribosomal RNA". It matches the Rfam family "Bacterial small subunit ribosomal RNA", at positions 15 to 217 of the family's 1533-position model. The record is from RNAcentral.
GAUCAUGGCUCAGGACGAACGCUGGCGGCGUGCUUAACACAUGCAAGUCGAACGAGAAUCUAAUGACGGAGUUUUCGGACAACUGAUUUAGAGGACAGUGGCGGACGGGUGAGUAACGCGUGAGGAACCUGCCUUUCAGAGGGGGACAACAGUUGGAAACGACUGCUAAUACCGCAUGACACAUAGGUGUCGCAUGGCACUUAUGUCAAAGAUUUAUCG